Molecule: ribosomal RNA, 524 nt
Filed under: uncultured bacterium
Lineage: Bacteria
Description: bacterial SSU rRNA
Rfam family: Bacterial small subunit ribosomal RNA
Source: RNAcentral
GGCGACGAUCUGUAGCUGGUCUGAGAGGACGACCAGCCACACUGGGACUGAGACACGGCCCAGACUCCUACGGGAGGCAGCAGUGGGGAAUUUUGGACAAUGGGCGCAAGCCUGAUCCAGCCAUGCCGCGUGCGGGAAGAAGGCCUUCGGGUUGUAAACCGCUUUUGUCAGGGAAGAAAUCCUUUGGGUUAAUACCUCGGGGGGAUGACGGUACCUGAAGAAUAAGCACCGGCUAACUACGUGCCAGCAGCCGCGGUAAUACGUAGGGUGCAAGCGUUAAUCGGAAUUACUGGGCGUAAAGCGUGCGCAGGCGGUUCUAUAAGACAGAUGUGAAAUCCCCGGGCUCAACCUGGGAACUGCAUUUGUGACUGUAGAGCUGGAGUGCGGCAGAGGGGGAUGGAAUUCCGCGUGUAGCAGUGAAAUGCGUAGAUAUGCGGAGGAACACCGAUGGCGAAGGCAAUCCCCUGGGCCUGCACUGACGCUCAUGCACGAAAGCGUGGGGAGCAAACAGGAUUAGAUACCCU